AUACAGAGGUGGCGAGCGUUGUUCGGAUUUACUGGGCGUAAAGGGCGCGUAGGCCGCGCGGUAUGUAGGGUGUGAAAUCUCCGGGCCCAACCCGGAAAGUGCGCCCUAAACUGCCGCGCUCGAGUGCGGGAGGGGAGAUCGGAAUGCAUGGUGUAGCGGUGAAAUGCGUUGAUAUCAUGCAGAACACCGGUGGCGAAGGCGGAUCUCUGGAACGCAACUGACGCUGAGGCGCGAAAGUCGGGGGAGC
RNAcentral lists this ribosomal RNA (247 nucleotides) under uncultured bacterium. RNAcentral's name for it is "partial 16S ribosomal RNA". It matches the Rfam family "Bacterial small subunit ribosomal RNA", at positions 523 to 769 of the family's 1533-position model. The record is from RNAcentral.